This 253-nucleotide ribosomal RNA is filed under the name uncultured bacterium. Its description in RNAcentral is "partial 16S ribosomal RNA". It matches the Rfam family "Bacterial small subunit ribosomal RNA", at positions 524 to 776 of the family's 1533-position model. The record is from RNAcentral.
UACGUAGGGUGCAAGCGUUGUCCGGAAUUAUUGGGCGUAAAGAGCUCGUAGGCGGUUUGUCGCGUCUGCUGUGAAAACUCGGGGCUUAACUCCGGGCCUGCAGUGGGUACGGGCAGACUAGAGUGCGGUAGGGGAGACUGGAAUUCCUGGUGUAGCGGUGAAAUGCGCAGAUAUCGGGAGGAACACCAGUGGCGAAGGCGGUUGCCUGGGGCUUUGCUGACGCUGAGGCGCGAAAGCGUGGGGAGCGAUCCGG